UGAGGAAUAUUGGUCAAUGGGCGAGAGCCUGAACCAGCCAAGUAGCGUGAAGGAUGAAGGUUCUAUGGAUUGUAAACUUCUUUUAUAAGGGAAUAACAGGCGCUACGUGUAGCGUUUUGCAUGUACCUUAUGAAUAAGCAUCGGCUAACUCCGUGCCAGCAGCCGCGGUAAUACGGAGGAUGCGAGCGUUAUCCGGAUUUAUUGGGUUUAAAGGGAGCGUAGACGGGAUGUUAAGUCAGCUGUGAAAGUUUGGGGCUCAACCUUAAAAUUGCAGUUGAAACUGGCAUUCUUGAGUGCGGCAGAGGCAGGCGGAAUUCGUGGUGUAGCGGUGAAAUGCUUAGAUAUCACGAAGAACUCCGAUUGCGAAGGCAGCUUGCUGGAGCGUAACUGACGUUGAUGCUCGAAAGUGUGGGUAUCAAACAGG
Molecule: ribosomal RNA, 424 nt
Filed under: uncultured bacterium
Lineage: Bacteria
Also listed under: 1 other name
Description: bacterial SSU rRNA
Rfam family: Bacterial small subunit ribosomal RNA
Source: RNAcentral